GACGAACGCUGGCGGCGCGCUUAACACAUGCAAGUCGAACGGAAAGGCCCCUUUCGGGGUUCUAUAAUGUGGCACGGGUGUGUGUAACGCGUGUGCACUGCCCCCCACUCCGGGGGAACUCCAGGGAACUGGGGCGAAUACAGCGAAGACAUCCUUACUUCCUGAUGGGGGAUGGAAGGAUGCUCCGGCGGUGAGGGAUGGGCCCGCGGCUUGUCGGUUUGUUGGGGGGGUGACGUCCUACCACGGCAAUGAGGGGUCGCGGGGUUGAGAGGCCGACCAGCCAGAUUGGGACUGGGACACGGCCCAGCCUCCUACGGGAGGCAGCAGUGGGGAAUCUUGCACAAUGGGCGAAAGCCUGAUGCAGCGACGCCGCGUGCGGGAUGAAGGCCUUCGGGUUGUAAACCGCUUUCAGCAGGGACGAGGCGAAAGUGACGGUACCUGCAGAAGAAGCCCCGGCUAACUACGUG
This 467-nucleotide ribosomal RNA is filed under the name uncultured bacterium. RNAcentral's name for it is "partial 16S ribosomal RNA". It matches the Rfam family "Bacterial small subunit ribosomal RNA", at positions 28 to 507 of the family's 1533-position model. The record is from RNAcentral.